AUGUUUUUAGUAUAAUAAGUACACUUACCUUCCAAGUAAGUAGUUUACAAUGUAAAAAACGUA
RNAcentral lists this transfer RNA (63 nucleotides) under Limnodrilus hoffmeisteri. Its description in RNAcentral is "tRNA-Gly". Lineage: Eukaryota; Metazoa; Annelida; Clitellata; Tubificida; Naididae. The record is from RNAcentral.